GUACAAUCUUGUUUGCAAAGCAGGCAUCGAGAAUGCUAGGUUCCCCA
Molecule: small RNA, 47 nt
Filed under: Sinorhizobium meliloti 2011
Lineage: Bacteria; Pseudomonadati; Pseudomonadota; Alphaproteobacteria; Hyphomicrobiales; Rhizobiaceae
Description: putative ncRNA
Source: RNAcentral